RNAcentral lists this ribosomal RNA (426 nucleotides) under uncultured bacterium. RNAcentral's name for it is "bacterial SSU rRNA". It matches the Rfam family "Bacterial small subunit ribosomal RNA", at positions 355 to 773 of the family's 1533-position model. The record is from RNAcentral.
UGGGGAAUAUUGGGCAAUGGGCGCAAGCCUGAUCCAGCCAUGCCGCGUGGGUGAAGAAGGCCUUCGGGUUGUAAAGCCCUUUUGUCCGGAAAGAAAUCCUGUCGGUUAAUAACCGGCGGGGAUGACGGUACCGGAAGAAUAAGCACCGGCUAACUUCGUGCCAGCAGCCGCGGUAAUACGAAGGGUGCAAGCGUUACUCGGAAUUACUGGGCGUAAAGCGUGCGUAGGUGGUUCGUUAAGUCCGAUGUGAAAGCCCUGGGCUCAACCUGGGAAUGGCAUUGGAUACUGGCGGGCUAGAGUGCGGUAGAGGAUGGCGGAAUUCCCGGUGUAGCAGUGAAAUGCGUAGAGAUCGGGAGGAACAUCUGUGGCGAAGGCGGCCAUCUGGACCAGCACUGACACUGAGGCACGAAAGCGUGGGGAGCAAAC